RNAcentral lists this transfer RNA (71 nucleotides) under Bos taurus (domestic cattle). It matches the Rfam family "tRNA". Rfam says of the family: Transfer RNA (tRNA) molecules are approximately 80 nucleotides in length. Their secondary structure includes four short double-helical elements and three loops (D, anti-codon, and T loops). RNAcentral also lists the same sequence under 5 other names. The record is from Rfam by way of RNAcentral. Lineage: Eukaryota; Metazoa; Chordata; Mammalia; Artiodactyla; Bovidae.
UCCCUGGUGGCUCAGUGGUAAAAAAUCUGCCCGCCAAGCUGGAGACCCAGGUUCCAUUCCUGGCUUGGGAU